This is a non-coding RNA of Thalictrum thalictroides, 74 nucleotides long. The record is from the annotation of a GenBank genome assembly. NCBI's taxonomy places the organism in Eukaryota, Viridiplantae, Streptophyta, Magnoliopsida, Ranunculales, Ranunculaceae.
UGAUCUUUAGCUCAAAUGGUAGAGCACUUGAGAACACAUCUCAAGCGAUGGUGGUUCAAAUCCUCCAAGAUCUU